Molecule: RNA transcript, 1179 nt
Organism: Equus quagga
Lineage: Eukaryota; Metazoa; Chordata; Mammalia; Perissodactyla; Equidae
Gene: MITD1
Gene name: microtubule interacting and trafficking domain containing 1
Exons: 10
Source: RefSeq, a predicted model, not a curated record
AUGGCGAGGUGUGGUCUGGGCCAGGAUCCCGAAAGCGCCGCUGCGGUCGCUGUGCUAAAGCGGGCGGUGGAACUAGAUUCGGAGUCGCGGUACCCGCAGGCUCUGGUGUGUUACCAGGAGGGGAUUGACCUGCUCCUGCAGGUUCUGAAAGGUACCAAAGAUGAUACAAAGAAGUGUCAUCUCAGAAAAAAAAUUUCUGGCUACAUGGAUAGAGCAGAAAACAUAAAAAAAUACUUGGAUCAAGAAAAAGAAGAUGGAAAAUACCACAAGCAAAUUAAAAUAGAAGAGAAUGCGACAGGUUUCAGUUAUGAGUCACUUUUUCAAGAAUACCUUAAUGAAACAGUUACAGAAGUUUGGAUAGAAGAUCCUUAUAUUAGACAUACUCAUCAGCUGUAUAACUUUCUUCGAUUUUGUGAGAUGCUUAUUAAGAAACCAUGUAAAGUAAAAACUAUUCAUCUUCUCACCUCUCUGGAUGAAGGCAGUAGGAGAGAACAGCAAAGUAGUGGCCUGAGAGAGAUAAAAGAGUCACUCAGGAAGCAUGGAGUGCUGUUGGAAUUAGAAUACUCUUCUUCAAUACAUGACCGAGAAAUUAGGUUCAACAAUGGAUGGAUGAUUAAGAUUGGAAGGGGACUUGAUUAUUUUAAGAAAGCACAGGGUCGUUUUUCCCUUGGAUAUUGCGAUUUUGAUUUAAGACCAUGUCAUGAAACAACAGUGGACAUUUUUCAUAACAAGCACACAAAAAAAAUAUGAUGGGUUCAGGUGCUGAUAAUGCUGAACCUGAAAAUACUCAAACCAGUUUGCCAAGCUUUAUUAUAUGGAAAUUCAGGGUCUCAAGAGAGCACUUCGACAAGUGUUGGACCUGAUCAAAAGUUACUCUCUGCAAAGUAUCCUAGCUCAUUUUGCCAGGUACCCAUCGUCAUGUGGAAGUAGAGUGGCUUUUCAUUCAGAUAUGCGCACAGAGGAAAGACUUUGUGAGGGCACAGCAAGGUGGCAGCCAUCUGCAAGAAGAGGCCUCAGAAGAAACCAAACCUGCUGUCCUCUUGAUCUUAGACUUCCAGCCUCCAGAACUGGCCUUCCUGUAUGCUGUUCUUUGUGGCAGAUUGUUCCGAAAAUGGCUGCAGUAAGAUCUCCCAUCCCAGCGGCUCUUUUUAUAAUGACUUUGACAUUCCUGCUACAGAG